CUUGUCCCACCUGGGCCCUUAAUACCUCUUAUUUAUUUCCGGUUUCAACCCACUGAUUCUAGCCCGAUUCCAGUUUCAUCCUUGGUUCUGUAAAUUUUUAUUUUUGAUUUUUUUUCUUUUAAAUUGUUUUUGUCUAUUAUUAUUAGUUUUUCUUAUUUUUUUUAUUUCCUCUUUAUUUGAUUCUUAAACUGUGUAGCUAUAUUUUUUUUUCUCUUUCUAUAUCUAUAUUAUUCCAUUUAACAUGCAAUACCCUAUUUUGGCCAGGGUCUCAAAGGCCCAAACUAUAAUGGGCCUAUAGGGCCCAAACCCCAAAACAGCACAAGAGCCCAACGUUUCCAGCACAGAGGAAACCUUAGGGAUCCUUCCAUGUUUGCACCGCAGCCCUGCACGAUCUUCACCUACACCAAAGAAAGGAAACACGGCAAAUAAACCACAAAAAUGGAAAGAAAAUCAAGAUUGCGAAUCAAAUAGAUAUUAAGCAGAUUUGUUUCUUUAUUUUUUUUAUUAAGGUUAUAAAAGGACCAUUGAAAUACUAUAAUAAAAAAAAAAAGAAAAAUCAAUAAAAAGAAGAGCGAAUAUUUCACAACACAAAUACAGAAUACCAAAAAGAG
This 611-nucleotide long non-coding RNA is filed under the name Gossypium raimondii (Peruvian cotton). RNAcentral's name for it is "long non-coding RNA (GRAI_LNC001003)". Lineage: Eukaryota; Viridiplantae; Streptophyta; Magnoliopsida; Malvales; Malvaceae. The record is from RNAcentral.